AUGGUUGGAGUUGACCAACUAGAUUGUUUUAAACAUCUUAUUGGGAGAAUACAGAAGCUGGUCAAUGGAUGGAAAGAAAGGGCAUUAUCUUAUGGAGGUAAAGAGGCUAUAAUAAAAGUGGUGGCCCAAGCCAUUCCAACAUAUGCGGUGGGCAUUUUCAAAUUCCCAAAGAAAAUAUGUAAGGGGAUCACUGAUACUAUAUCGCAUUUUUAGUGGGGAGAUGGUGAAGACCAACGCAAGAUGCACUUGUUCGCUUGAUGGAAAAUGUUUGUCCCAAAAUCGUGUGGUGGAAUAGGAUUCCGUGACAUACAUAGUUUUAAUCUUGCAAUGUUUGCCAAGCAAUUCUGGUCGCUUGUUGAUAAUUAUGAUUCUCUAUGUGCAAAAUUCUAACAAGCAAAUACUAUCAUGUUGGAGAACGCGGUAAUUUCAAAAAAAUUCAUACGAUCACGCAAGAUCUAUCUAGGUGAUGCAUAG
Molecule: ribosomal RNA, 474 nt
Filed under: Triticum aestivum (bread wheat)
Lineage: Eukaryota; Viridiplantae; Streptophyta; Magnoliopsida; Poales; Poaceae
Description: partial small subunit ribosomal RNA
Source: RNAcentral